Molecule: ribosomal RNA, 432 nt
Filed under: uncultured bacterium
Lineage: Bacteria
Description: partial 16S ribosomal RNA
Rfam family: Bacterial small subunit ribosomal RNA
Source: RNAcentral
AACGAACGCUGGCGGCAUGCCUAACACAUGCAAGUCGAACGAGACCUUCGGGUCUAGUGGCGCACGGGUGCGUAACGCGUGGGAACCUGCCCUUAGGUUCGGAAUAACUCCCCGAAAGGGGUGCUAAUACCGGAUAAUGUCUUCGGACCAAAGAUUUAUCGCCUUUGGAUGGGCCCGCGUUGGAUUAGCUAGUUGGUAGGGUAAAAGCCUACCAAGGCGACGAUCCAUAGCUGGUCUGAGAGGAUGAUCAGCCACACUGGGACUGAGACACGGCCCAGACUCCUACGGGAGGCAGCAGUGGGGAAUAUUGGACAUUGGGCGAAAGCCUGAUCCAGCAAUGCCGCGUGAGUGAUGAAGGCCUUAGGGUUGUAAGCUCUUUUACCCGGGAUGAUAAUGACAGUACCGGGAGAAUAAGCUCCGGCUAACUCCGUG